GCUUUAGCUCAGAGGUAGAUCACGUGACUUAUGGCCACGUGGUCGUGGGUUUGAUCCCCACGGAAGGCA
This 69-nucleotide transfer RNA is filed under the name Amborella trichopoda. It matches the Rfam family "tRNA". Rfam says of the family: Transfer RNA (tRNA) molecules are approximately 80 nucleotides in length. Their secondary structure includes four short double-helical elements and three loops (D, anti-codon, and T loops). Lineage: Eukaryota; Viridiplantae; Streptophyta; Magnoliopsida; Amborellales; Amborellaceae. The record is from Rfam by way of RNAcentral.